Molecule: ribosomal RNA, 503 nt
Filed under: uncultured bacterium
Lineage: Bacteria
Description: partial 16S ribosomal RNA
Rfam family: Bacterial small subunit ribosomal RNA
Source: RNAcentral
GAUGAACGCUAGCGGCAGGCCUAACACAUGCAAGUCGAGGGGUAGCAGGAUUAAGCUUGCUUAAUUGCUGACGACCGGCUCACGGGUGCGUAACGCGUAUGCAACCUACCUUAUACUGGGGUAUAGCCCGGAGAAAUUCGGAUUAAUCCCCCAUAUUACUAAUGAAACGCAUGGUUUAUUAGUUAAAGCAUUGCGGUAUAAGAUGGGCAUGCGUCCUAUUAGCUAGAUGGUGAGGUAACGGCUCACCAUGGCUACGAUAGGUAGGGGGCCUGAGAGGGUGGUCCCCCACACUGGUACUGAGACACGGACCAGACUCCUACGGGAGGCAGCAGUGAGGAAUAUUGGUCAAUGGGCGCAAGCCUGAACCAGCCAUGCCGCGUGCAGGAAGAAUGCCCUAUGGGUUGUAAACUGCUUUUAUUUGGGAAUAAACCUCUUUACGUGUAGAGAGCUGAAGGUACCAAAUGAAUAAGCACCGGCCAACUCCGUGCCAGCCGCCGCCGUAA